Molecule: ribosomal RNA, 468 nt
Filed under: uncultured bacterium
Lineage: Bacteria
Description: partial 16S ribosomal RNA
Rfam family: Bacterial small subunit ribosomal RNA
Source: RNAcentral
GACGAACGCUGGCGGCGUGCUUAACACAUGCAAGUCGAACGGAAAGGCCCUGCUUUUGUGGGGUGCUCGAGUGGCGAACGGGUGAGUAACACGUGAGUAACCUGCCCUUGACUUUGGGAUAACUUCAGGAAACUGGGGCUAAUACCGGAUAGGAGCUCCUGCUGCAUGGUGGGGGUUGGAAAGUUUCGGCGGUUGGGGAUGGACUCGCGGCUUAUCAGCUUGUUGGUGGGGUAGUGGCUUACCAAGGCUUUGACGGGUAGCCGGCCUGAGAGGGUGGCCGGCGACAUUGGGACUGCGAUACGGCCCAGACUCCUACGGGAGGCAGCAGUGGGGAAUAUUGCACAGUGGGAGGAAGCCUGAUGCAGCAACGCCGCGGGCGGGAUGACGGCCUUCGGGUUGUAAACCGCUUUCGCCUGUGACGAAGCGGGAGUGACGGUAAUGGGUAAAGAAGCACCGGCUAACUACGUG